This 348-nucleotide unclassified non-coding RNA is filed under the name soil metagenome. Its description in RNAcentral is "partial contains 5.8S ribosomal RNA, internal transcribed spacer 2, and large subunit ribosomal RNA". The stretch from base 1 to 120 matches the Rfam family "5.8S ribosomal RNA", at positions 35 to 154 of the family's 154-position model. The record is from RNAcentral.
GAUGAAGAACGUAGCGAAAUGCGAUAAGUAAUGUGAAUUGCAGAAUUCUGUGAAUCAUCGAAUCUUUGAACGCACAUUGCGCCCGCCAGUAUUCUGGCGGGCAUGCCUGUCUGAGCGUCAUUUCAACCCUCAUGCCCCUAGGGCGUGGUGUUGGGGAUCGGCCAAAGCCCGCGAGGGACGGCCGGCCCCUAAAUCUAGUGGCGGACCCGUCGUGGCCUCCUCUGCGAAGUAGUGAUAUUCCGCAUCGGAGAGCGAUGAGCCCCUGCCGUUAAACCCCCAACUUUCCAAGGUUGACCUCAGAUCAGGUAGGAAUACCCGCUGAACUUAAGCAUAUCAAUAAGCGGAGGA